This is a long non-coding RNA of Oncorhynchus keta (chum salmon), 488 nucleotides long. RefSeq lists it as uncharacterized. The transcript has 3 exons. The record is from RefSeq and is a predicted model, not a curated record. Lineage: Eukaryota; Metazoa; Chordata; Actinopteri; Salmoniformes; Salmonidae.
GUCCUCUACCUCUCCUCUGACUGGGCUUGAACCAGGGUCCUCUACCUCUCCUCUGACUGGGCUUGAACCAGGGUCCUCUACCUCUCCUCUGACUGGGCUUGAACCAGGGUCCUCUACCUCUCCUCUGACUGGGCUUGAACCAGGGUCCUCUACCUCUCCUCUGACUGGGCUUGAACCAGGGUCCUCUACCUCUCCUCUGACUGGGCUUGAACCAGGGUCCUCUACCUCUCCUCUGACUGGGCUUGAACCAGGGUCCUCUACCUCUCCUCUGACUGGGCUUGAACCAGGGUCCUCUACCUCUCCUCUGACUGGGCUUGAACCAGGGUCCUCUACCUCUCCUCUGACUGGGCUUGAACCAGGGUCCUCUACCUCUCCUCUGACUGGGCUUGAACCAGGGUCCUCUACCUCUCCUCUGACUGGGCUUGAACCAGGGUCCUCUACCUCUCCUCUGACUGGGCUUGAACCAGGGUCCUCUACCUCUCCUCUGA